GAUGAACGCUGGCGGCGUGCUUAACACAUGCAAGUCGAACGGAGCCUAGCGAGUGCUUGCACUUGACGAAAGCUUAGUGGCGGACGGGUGAGUAACGCGUGAGCAACCUGUCCUCUACGAGGGGGAUAAGACAGCGAAAGUUGUUCUAAUACCGCAUAAGACCACGGGAUCACAUGGUCCAGGGGUCAAAGGAGCAAUCCGGUAGAGGGUGGGCUCGCGUCCGAUUAGAUAGUUGGUGAGGUAACGGCCCACCAAGUCAACGAUCGGUAGCCGACCUAAGAGGGUGAUCGGCCACAUUGGGACUGAGACACGGCCCAGACUCC
RNAcentral lists this ribosomal RNA (323 nucleotides) under uncultured Coriobacteriales bacterium. RNAcentral's name for it is "bacterial SSU rRNA". It matches the Rfam family "Bacterial small subunit ribosomal RNA", at positions 28 to 339 of the family's 1533-position model. The record is from RNAcentral. Lineage: Bacteria; Bacillati; Actinomycetota; Coriobacteriia; Coriobacteriales.